Molecule: ribosomal RNA, 467 nt
Filed under: uncultured bacterium
Lineage: Bacteria
Description: partial 16S ribosomal RNA
Rfam family: Bacterial small subunit ribosomal RNA
Source: RNAcentral
GAUGAACGCUGGCGGCGUGCUUAACACAUGCAAGUCGAACGGAAAGGCUCCUGCUUGCAGGGGUACUCGAGUGGCGAACGGGUGAGUAACACGUGGGUGAUCUGCCCUGCACUUCGGGAUAAGCCUGGGAAACUGGGUCUAAUACCGGAUAGGACCACAUUUUGGAUGGUGUGGUGGAAAGUUUUUCGGUGUGGGAUGAGCUCGCGGCCUAUCAGCUUGUUGGUGGGGUAAUGGCCUACCAAGGCGUCGACGGGUAGCCGGCCUGAGAGGGUGUACGGCCACAUUGGGACUGAGAUACGGCCCAGACUCCUACGGGAGGCAGCAGUGGGGAAUAUUGCACAAUGGGCGCAAGCCUGAUGCAGCGACGCCGCGUGGGGGAUGACGGCCUUCGGGUUGUAAACUCCUUUCGCUAGGGACGAAGCGUUUUUGUGACGGCACCUGGAGAAGAAGCACCGGCUAACUACGUG